CAAAGAUUUAUCGCCUUGGGAUAAGCCCGCGUCAGAUUAGGUAGUUGGUGGGGUAAUGGCCUACCAAGCCUGUGAUCUGUAGCUGGUCUGAGAGGACGAUCAGCCACAUUGGGACUGAGACACGGCCCAAACUCCUACGGGAGGCAGCAGUGGGGAAUCUUGCGCAAUGGACGAAAGUCUGACGCAGCCAUGCCGCGUGAAUGAUGAAGGUCUUAGGAUUGUAAAGUUCUUUAGCCUGUGACGAUGAUGACGGUAACAGGAGAAUAAGCCCCGGCUAACUUCGUGCCAGCAGCCGCGGUAAUACGAAGGGGGCUAGCGUUGUUCGGAAUUACUGGGCGUAAAGCGCGCGUAGGCGGUUUUACAAGCCAGAGGUGAAAUGCCUGAGCUCAACUUAGGAAUUGCCUUUGGAACUGUAUGGCUUUGAGGACGAAAGAAGUGAGUGGAAUUCCCAGUGUAGAGGUGAAAUUCGUAGAUAUUGGG
This 480-nucleotide ribosomal RNA is filed under the name uncultured bacterium. Its description in RNAcentral is "bacterial SSU rRNA". It matches the Rfam family "Bacterial small subunit ribosomal RNA", at positions 202 to 701 of the family's 1533-position model. The record is from RNAcentral.